Long non-coding RNA from Apodemus sylvaticus (European woodmouse), 1671 nucleotides. RefSeq lists it as uncharacterized. The transcript has 3 exons. NCBI's taxonomy places the organism in Eukaryota, Metazoa, Chordata, Mammalia, Rodentia, Muridae. The record is from RefSeq and is a predicted model, not a curated record.
ACCAGCAACAGUCUUAGCUCCACACAGCAAGGUCAACCCAGGUACAAGGCUCCUAAUUACUGCAUUUCCAUGAUAAGGAGAAGAAACAGCUAGUCAACUGUACAGGCACUCUGGGAAGGCAGCAGCUGGCGGCAGGUCACGUACCGGCUUAUCCUUGAUGGUGGGGCUGGACACACACAGCUUCGGGAGAGUUGGCCUGACAAGCAUGGACCUUGGCAUCUUGUUUUGCACUGACGUGGAAUAGUUCCAUGGACUGCGGCAUUGCGUGAUGACACGUGGUUGCAUGAGAACAGUGCAGUGACCAGACGGACUCUGUCUAGUCCUUAUCCCACUCCUGGUCUGCCCUCUAACUGUUCCUCAUGGAUUGGUAAAAUUAACAAAGUAAAAAUGGCCAUCCUACCAAAGGCAAUCUACAGAUUCAACACAAUCCCUAUCAAAAUUCCAACACAAGUCUUCAAAGACAUGGAAAGAGCAAUUCUCAAAUUCAUCUGGAAAAACAAAAAACCCAGAAUAGUGAAAAAAAUUCUUAACAAUAAAAGAACUUCUGGGGAAAUCACUAUCCCUAACCUCAAGCUUUACUAUAGAGCAACAGUGAUAAAAACUGCAUGGUAUUGGUACAGAAUCAGACAUGUUUAUCAAUGGAAUAGAACUGAAGACCCAGAAAUAAAACCACACACCUACAGACACUUGACCUUCAACAAAGAAACCAAAAAUAUACAAUGGAAAAAAUAAAGCAUCUUCAAUAAAGAGUGUUGGUCUAACUGGUAGUUUGUAUAUAGAAAAAUGAAAAUAGAUUCAUACUUGUCACCUUGCACAACACUCAAGUCCAAGUGGAUCAAGGAUCUCAUCAACAUAAAACCAGAUACACUGAAUAGAAGAGAAAGUGGGAAAGAGCCUCCAACUCACUGGCAUAGGGGGGAAAUUUCCUAAACAGAACUCCAAUGGCUCAGGCUCUCAGAUGAAGAGUUGAUAAAUGGGACCUCAUGAAUCUAAAAAGUUUCUGUAUGGUAAAGGACAUAGUCAAUAGGACAAAUUAGCACCCUACAGAUUGGAAAAAAAUAUUUACUAACCCCACAUCCGAUAGAGGGCUAAUAUCCAAAAUAUAUAAAGAACCUAAGAAGCUAAUCACCAAAAAUCCAAACAAUCCAAUCAACAAAAAUAGGGUAUAGAGCUAAACAGAGAAUUCACAACAGAGGAAUCUCGAAUGGCCGAAAGCACUUAAAGAAAUGUUCAUUCAUUUUUUAUGAUUUUGAAUUACAUAUGUGUAUGUGUGUCUGCAUUUGAGGAGUGCACAGAAGUGGGGGUGCCUGAGGAUGCCAGCAGGGUUGGAUUCCCUGAAGUGAGAGUUACAGGUGAUUGUUGAGUCUCCUAAUGUGGUUCUGGGAAUUGAACUUGGGUCCUCUGGAAGAAUAGCAAGUACUCUAAACCACUGAGCCUCCUCUCCAGCCCCAAUUUCAAUUUAUGAUGUGUGUAAAAUUAACACUGAGUUGUCGUAUAUGAUGUCAUAAAAUUGUAACUCAUGUGAAUGAUAAGUACUCCUUUCUACAUUGCAUUUACAAAGUAUCUGGUGAAUAAAUGGAAAUGAUCUAGAUGUGGAAGUAAGCCUUAAUUAAAAUUACUCAAUAGGCUGAAUAGUGCCAAACAUUAAACUGGCUGGAUAUAUGCUUCCAA